GCGGAAGUGGCGGAAUUUGGCAGACGCGUACGGUUCAGGGCCGUAUGGCCGUAAGGUCUUGAGGGUUCAAGUCCCUCCUUCCGCA
RNAcentral lists this transfer RNA (85 nucleotides) under Chloroflexota bacterium. Its description in RNAcentral is "Chloroflexi bacterium tRNA-Leu". It matches the Rfam family "tRNA". From Rfam's summary of the family: Transfer RNA (tRNA) molecules are approximately 80 nucleotides in length. Their secondary structure includes four short double-helical elements and three loops (D, anti-codon, and T loops). RNAcentral also lists the same sequence under 1 other name. Lineage: Bacteria; Bacillati; Chloroflexota. The record is from RNAcentral.